This 1295-nucleotide ribosomal RNA is filed under the name Streptomyces xantholiticus. Its description in RNAcentral is "bacterial SSU rRNA". It matches the Rfam family "Bacterial small subunit ribosomal RNA", at positions 35 to 1349 of the family's 1533-position model. The record is from RNAcentral. Lineage: Bacteria; Bacillati; Actinomycetota; Actinomycetes; Kitasatosporales; Streptomycetaceae.
GGAAAAGGCGUCAGCAUUACACAUGCAAGUCGAACGAUGAACCUCCUUCGGGAGGGGAUUAGUGGCGAACGGGUGAGUAACACGUGGGCAAUCUGCCCUGCACUCUGGGACAAGCCCUGGAAACGGGGUCUAAUACCGGAUACGACUCGGGAGGGCAUCCUUCCGGGUGGAAAGCUCCGGCGGUGCAGGAUGAGCCCGCGGCCUAUCAGCUUGUUGGUGGGGUGAUGGCCUACCAAGGCGACGACGGGUAGCCGGCCUGAGAGGGCGACCGGCCACACUGGGACUGAGACACGGCCCAGACUCCUACGGGAGGCAGCAGUGGGGAAUAUUGCACAAUGGGCGAAAGCCUGAUGCAGCGACGCCGCGUGAGGGAUGACGGCCUUCGGGUUGUAAACCUCUUUCAGCAGGGAAGAAGCGCAAGUGACGGUACCUGCAGAAGAAGCGCCGGCUAACUACGUGCCAGCAGCCGCGGUAAUACGUAGGGCGCAAGCGUUGUCCGGAAUUAUUGGGCGUAAAGAGCUCGUAGGCGGCUUGUCGCGUCGGAUGUGAAAGCUCGGGGCUUAACCCCGGGUCUGCAUUCGAUACGGGCAGGCUAGAGUGUGGUAGGGGAGAUCGGAAUUCCUGGUGUAGCGGUGAAAUGCGCAGAUAUCAGGAGGAACACCGGUGGCGAAGGCGGAUCUCUGGGCCAUUACUGACGCUGAGGAGCGAAAGCGUGGGGGAGCGAACAGGAUUAGAUACCCUGGUAGUCCACGCCGUAAACGUUGGGAACUAGGUGUUGGCGACAUUCCACGUCGUCGGUGCCGCAGCUAACGCAUUAAGUUCUCCGCCUGGGGAGUACGGCCGCAAGGCUAAAACUCAAGGAAUUGACGGGGCCCGCACCAGCAGCGGAGCAUGUGGCUUAAUUCGACGCAACGCGAGAACCUUACCCACGCUUGACAUAUACAGGAAAGUGCUAGAGAUAGUGCCCCCCUUGUGGUCGUAUACAGGUGGUGCAUGGCUGUCGUCAGCUCGUGUCGUGAGAUGUUUGGCUUAAGUCACGCACUAAGCGCCACCCAUUGUCUGUGUUGCCAGCAUGCCUUCGGCGUGAUGGGGUACUCCCAGGAGACAGCUGGCCCACUCGCAGGAGGUAGGGAACACGUCAGUCAUCAUGCCCCUUAUGUCUUGGGCUGCCCCAUGCUUACAAUGGCCGUACCAAUGAGCUGCAUGCCUGGACGCGGAACGAAUUAGAACGGUCUAUGUCCGAUGGACUGUACUCGCACAGAUGAUCACUCGCAAGAUUGCUUAUAUGCAUGUAU